CUAGCGACUUCAGAGUUUGAUCCUGGCUCAGGACGAACGCUGGCGGCGUGCCUAACACAUGUAAGUCGAGCGGGGAUUGGGAAGCUUGCUUUCUGAUCCUAGCGGCGGACGGGUGAGUAACGCGUGAGCAACCUGCCUCUUACUGGGGGAUAACGCAUCGAAAGAUGUGCUAAUACCGCGUAAGACCACGGAGUCGCAUGGCUCAGGGGUCAAAGGAGCAAUCCGGUAAGAGAUGGGCUCGCGUCCGAUUAGCUAGUUGGUGAGAUAACGGCCCACCAAGGCGACGAUCGGUAGCCGACCUGAGAGGGUGAUCGGCCACAUUGGAACUGAGAUACGGUCCAG
This 342-nucleotide ribosomal RNA is filed under the name uncultured bacterium. Its description in RNAcentral is "bacterial SSU rRNA". It matches the Rfam family "Bacterial small subunit ribosomal RNA", at positions 1 to 334 of the family's 1533-position model. The record is from RNAcentral.